Molecule: ribosomal RNA, 237 nt
Filed under: Triticum aestivum (bread wheat)
Lineage: Eukaryota; Viridiplantae; Streptophyta; Magnoliopsida; Poales; Poaceae
Description: partial small subunit ribosomal RNA
Source: RNAcentral
AUGACGGCGUCGACACCGCGGAUCACAACGGAGUCCAUCAAACAUACAGUCUAUCAGCCUUUCUGCAAGGUACACAACAUGCUCGCUACAGAGGAAAGAGAUGAUGCACAUUACUCCUUUCUGCAAGUAAAAAAAGGAUAUGUUCUCAUAACAAGGAUGGAAAGUAUAACAGCUUACAAAAACCAAUAUGGACAACACAGAUCUGGAACUCAAGAACAACCUGGUACUAGCUGCUAA